RNAcentral lists this unclassified non-coding RNA (529 nucleotides) under Hevea brasiliensis (rubber tree). The record is from RNAcentral. Lineage: Eukaryota; Viridiplantae; Streptophyta; Magnoliopsida; Malpighiales; Euphorbiaceae.
AAAUAAGUCUAAUUAUCUAUGUAAUUGAAAAGUCACAGAUGUGAAAUUGUGGAAGGAGAAAAAUGUUUCUGCCUCAUGCAGAAAGUAGAUCCAGUAGCAAUAUAAAUUUAUACGAUGGAGAAGCAAAUCCUUUUGUUAUUUGACUUUCCUUAGGAAAUUUCCAGUUUCAAUUUAAAUGGUUAACGGAAUAUAAAAAAUAAAUCUACUAGAAGAAAACCAUAUAGGCUGUAAGUCACUCCUUUGCACAGAUUAUAUUUUGGAUGAAUGACACUUAUGAUUUUAGCCAUUAACCCUCAAAUAACUAAAUUUCAAAAAGAAAAAUGUUGAAAUUAAUGGGAUUGACUACCAGCAGGUGAACAUAUAGUAAAAUAAAACCAACCAUUUUUAUAAUCAAGACAUUUAACUUAUCUAAACACAAAGGUCUGUGGUGUCAUACAAGUAUCUGGAACUGAUCUUAAUCAUGUUUUUGUCAGUGAAACAUCAUUUCUCUCGACAAAUUUUAUAUGAAUAAAAUCAUAGAAAACUGAAC